This is a long non-coding RNA of Aquila chrysaetos chrysaetos, 1235 nucleotides long. RefSeq lists it as uncharacterized. The transcript has 3 exons. The record is from RefSeq and is a predicted model, not a curated record. Lineage: Eukaryota; Metazoa; Chordata; Aves; Accipitriformes; Accipitridae.
GGGGCGAGGGUGAGGGGUGCCUCCUGCCCGCUGGCCGCCCGGGGCUGCCGGGACGGGAAGCUGCGAAGCGGCCGCCGCGGCAGGCUCCCGGUCCGCCGGAGGCGAGCCGGGCCAGGGCAGCGCCGGGGAGUUCCCCGAGAGCCGGUAGAAGGGAAGAGGGGACGGAAGCGGGCACCCCCCAGGCGCGGCCAGCGGGCGCGUCCCCGAGUCGCCAGAGCUCCCCCGGCCCCGCUCGGCCCGUGCGGCUGCCCCCAGCUCCAGCCCCUCCCCUGAAGCCUGUGCUGUGGCCGCAGGCAGCCCCCGAGCCCUGUCGUGAGGGCAGCAAGCCGGCCCUGCGGUGUUCUCGAGUCUCCCUCAACGUGGGUGCCGCUAGCAGCGGCGCGGGGAACGAGCGGCGUCUGCGGAAGCCCCUGCGGAAGGAGGGGGCUCCGGCCAGGGUCGAGCUGCGGUAAUAACGGUCACUGCUGCCUCUUUCCCUCUCCCAGAGGCCACGCUGUGGGUGCGGUUGCCCGUUCGUCCCCCGGGGAUGCCGUUGACUGCAGCAGCCUCAGGCUUGCGUGGGCUGUCUCUGCCUGGCCUCCCUCUCCGCGCGGCGCGGGAGCGCAGAGGGACAGGCGGAGCGCUUACUGGCUGUGGGCAGGAGCUGCUGCGGCUGAAGCUGGAGAGGCCAGAGAAAGGUAGAGAAGCAGAAACGGAAGGCCGCCCGGCCGGCAGCUGCCUCCCGCUGCAGGCAAGAGAGAGCCUGCCUCUCCGGGUGUGGAAGGAUCCCUCCUCGUAGUCCGCAGCAGGGGGAGGAGGACAGCCGUGCAGCCGGAGUUACAGCAGAGGAGGGGAGCGGGAGAGGAGCAGAAAGAAGCGUCUGAACUGGCAAAUUCUCCUGGCAGUGCCAAGAACAAGAGCUGUGCUUAACGCAGUUUCAAUCGCAUGUGGUCAGUUUCAGCACUGUUCUCAUCUAGUGCACAGGAACAUCUAGUCAUAAGAACAAAGAACUGCAAAACUUGUGAGUACCUACCUCUGCUAGUUAACUGCUUGGCUAUGCUUUUGUCUACUGUUUCAAUCAUUGUGUUAGUGUAAGAUUUCUAAUAAUUAUUUACCAAAUCUCACUUUUACAGUCACCUAGCAGCAAACCAGUUUCCAUGGCUGGUACAAAACAUUAAAACCAUCCAAAUAUUUAGACGUGCCAUACAGAAUGUAUGGAAAUAUGCUAUGAGAGGUGUCCCAGGGGCAGGGGGAGC